AAAAAAGGUAAGCUACUAAGAGCGAAUGGUGGAUGCCUUGACUGGUAAAGGCGAUGAAGGACGUACUAGACUGCGAUAAGCUACGGGGAGCUGUCAAGAAGCUUUGAUCCGUAGAUUUCCGAAUGGGGCAACCCAAUGUAUAGAGAUAUACAUUACCUAUAUAGGAGCGAACGAGGGGAAUUGAAACAUCUUAGUACCCUCAGGAAAAGAAAUCAAUAGAGAUUGCGUCAGUAGCGGCGAGCGAAAGCGCAAGAGGGCAAACCCAGUGCUUGCACUGGGGGUUGUAGGACUGCAAUGUGCAAGAGGUGAGUUUAGCAGAACAUUCUGGAAAGUAUAGCCAUAGAGGGUGAUAGUCCCGUAUGCGAAAAACAAACCUUAGCUAGCAGUAUCCUGAGUAGGGCGGGACACGAGAAAUCCUGUCUGAAGCUGGGUCGACCACGAUCCAACCCUAAAUACUAAUACCAGAUCGAUAGUGCACAAGUACCGUGAGGGAAAGGUGAAAAGAACUGAGGUGAUCAGAGUGAAAUAGAACCUGAAACCAUUUGCUUACAAUCAUUCAGAGCCCUAUGUAGCAAUACAGGGUGAUGGACUGCCUUUUGCAUAAUGAGCCUGCGAGUUGUGGUGUCUGGCAAGGUUAAGCAAACGCGAAGCCGUAGCGAAAGCGAGUCUGAAUAGGGCGCUUAGUCAGAUGCUGCAGACCCGAAACGAAGUGAUCUAUCCAUGAGCAAGUUGAAGCUAGUGUAAGAACUAGUGGAGGACUGAACCCAUAGGCGUUGAAAAGCCCCGGGAUGACUUGUGGAUAGGGGUGAAAGGCCAAUCAAACUUCGUGAUAGCUGGUUCUCUCCGAAAUAUAUUUAGGUAUAGCGUUGUGUCGUAAUAUAAGGGGGUAGAGCACUGAAUGGGCUAGGGCAUACACCAAUGUACCAAACCCUAUCAAACUCCGAAUACCUUAUAUGUAAUCACAGCAGUCAGGCGGCGAGUGAUAAAAUCCGUCGUCAAGAGGGAAACAACCCAGACUACCAGCUAAGGUCCCUAAAUCUUACUUAAGUGGAAAACGAUGUGAAGUUACUUAAACAACCAGGAGGUUGGCUUAGAAGCAGCCAUCCUUUAAAGAAAGCGUAAUAGCUCACUGGUCUAGUGAUUUUGCGCGGAAAAUAUAACGGGGCUAAAGUAAGUACCGAAGCUGUAGACUUGCACACAACUUAGAUUAUUUAAGUUUAGAAUAUGAGAAACUAAGUUAUAUGUUUAGUUAUAUUUUUACUGAUUUUUAUAGAGUAAAGAUAGAAAUAAAACUUAGUAAAAUCAGUAAAAAUAUUCUUAGACUAAAGUUAAGUAGUUUAAGUUGUGUGCAAGUGGUAGGAGAGCGUUCUAUUUGCGUCGAAGGUAUACCGGUAAGGAGUGCUGGAGCGAAUAGAAGUGAGCAUGCAGGCAUGAGUAGCGAUAAUUAAUGUGAGAAUCAUUAACGCCGUAAACCCAAGGUUUCCUACGCGAUGCUCGUCAUCGUAGGGUUAGUCGGGUCCUAAGUCGAGUCCGAAAGGGGUAGACGAUGGCAAAUUGGUUAAUAUUCCAAUACCAACAUUAGUGUGCGAUGGAAGGACGCUUAGGGCUAAGGGGGCUAGCGGAUGGAAGUGUUAGUCUAAGGUCGUAGGAGGUUAUACAGGCAAAUCCGUAUAACAAUACUCCGAGAACUGAAAGGCUUUUUGAAGUCUUCGGAUGGAUAGAAGAACCCCUGAUGCCGUCGAGCCAAGAAAAGUUUCUAAGUUUAGCUAAUGUUGCCCGUACCGUAAACCGACACAGGUGGGUGGGAUGAGUAUUCUAAGGCGCGUGGAAGAACUCUCUUUAAGGAACUCUGCAAAAUAGCACCGUAUCUUCGGUAUAAGGUGUGGUUCGCUUCGUAUUAGGAUUUACUCCGAAAGCGAAGAAACUUACAACAAAGAGUCCCUCCCGACUGUUUACCAAAAACACAGCACUCUGCUAACUCGUAAGAGGAUGUAUAGGGUGUGACGCCUGCCCGGUGCUCGAAGGUUAAUUGAUGGGGUUAGCAUUAGCGAAGCUCUUGAUCGAAGCCCGAGUAAACGGCGGCCGUAACUAUAACGGUCCUAAGGUAGCGAAAUUCCUUGUCGGUUAAAUACCGACCUGCAUGAAUGGCGUAACGAGAUGGGAGCUGUCUCAAAGAGGGAUCCAGUGAAAUUGUAGUGGAGGUGAAAAUUCCUCCUACCCGCGGCAAGACGGAAAGACCCCGUGGACCUUUACUACAGCUUGACACUGCUAUUUGGAUAAGAAUGUGCAGGAUAGGUGGGAGGCUUUGAGUAUAUGACGCCAGUUGUAUAUGAGCCAUUGUUGAGAUACCACUCUUUCUUAUUUGGGUAGCUAACCAGCUUGAGUUAUCCUCAAGUGGGACAAUGUCUGGUGGGUAGUUUGACUGGGGCGGUCGCCUCCCAAAUAAUAACGGAGGCUUACAAAGGUUGGCUCAGAACGGUUGGAAAUCGUUCGUAGAGUAUAAAGGUAUAAGCCAGCUUAACUGCAAGACAUACAAGUCAAGCAGAGACGAAAGUCGGUCUUAGUGAUCCGGUGGUUCUGUGUGGAAGGGCCAUCGCUCAAAGGAUAAAAGGUACCCCGGGGAUAACAGGCUGAUCUCCCCCAAGAGCUCACAUCGACGGGGAGGUUUGGCACCUCGAUGUCGGCUCAUCGCAUCCUGGGGCUGGAGCAGGUCCCAAGGGUAUGGCUGUUCGCCAUUUAAAGCGGUACGCGAGCUGGGUUCAGAACGUCGUGAGACAGUUCGGUCCCUAUCUGCCGUGGGCGUAAGAAGAUUGAAGAGAUUUGACCCUAGUACGAGAGGACCGGGUUGAACAAACCACUGGUGUAGCUGUUGUUCUGCCAAGAGCAUCGCAGCGUAGCUAAGUUUGGAAAGGAUAAACGCUGAAAGCAUCUAAGCGUGAAGCCAACUCUAAGAUGAAUCUUCUCUAAGCUCUCUAGAAGACUACUAGUUUGAUAGGCUGGGUGUGUAAUGGAUGAAAGUCCUUUAGCUGACCAGUACUAAUAGAGCGUUUGGCUUAUCUUUAAUAAAGCAU
This 3071-nucleotide ribosomal RNA is filed under the name Campylobacter coli. RNAcentral's name for it is "bacterial LSU rRNA". It matches the Rfam family "Bacterial large subunit ribosomal RNA". Lineage: Bacteria; Pseudomonadati; Campylobacterota; Epsilonproteobacteria; Campylobacterales; Campylobacteraceae. The record is from RNAcentral.